AUUGAACGCUGGCGGCAGGCCUAACACAUGCAAGUCGAACGGUAACAGGAAACAGCUUGCUGUUUCGCUGACGAGUGGCGGACGGGUGAGUAAUGUCUGGGAAACUGCCUGAUGGAGGGGGAUAACUACUGGAAACGGUAGCUAAUACCGCAUAACGUCGCAAGACCAAAGAGGGGGACCCUCGGGCCUCUUGCCAUCGGAUGUGCCCAGAUGGGAUUAGCUUGUUGGUGGGGUAACGGCUCACCAAGGCGACGAUCCCUAGCUGGCCUGAGAGGAUGACCAGCCACACUGGAACUGAGACACGGUCCAGACUCCUACGGGAGGCAGCAGUGGGGAAUAUUGCACAAUGGGCGCAAGCCUGAUGCAGCCAUGCCGCGUGUAUGAAGAAGGCCUUCGGGUUGUAAAGUACUUUCAGCGGGGAGGAAGGGAGUAAAGUUAAUACCUUUGCUCAUUGACGUUACCCGCAGAAGAAGCACCGGCUAACUCCGUG
Molecule: ribosomal RNA, 490 nt
Filed under: uncultured bacterium
Lineage: Bacteria
Description: partial 16S ribosomal RNA
Rfam family: Bacterial small subunit ribosomal RNA
Source: RNAcentral